UACAGAGGUCCCAAGCGUUGUUCGGAUUCACUGGGCGUAAAGGGUGCGUAGGCGGUCGGGUAAGUCUGGCGUGAAAUCUCCAAGCCUAACUUGGAAACUGCAUUGGAUACUAUCCGGCUCGAGGAAUGGAGGGGAGACUGGAAUACUUGGUGUAGCAGUGAAAUGCGUAGAUAUCAAGUGGAACACCAGUGGCGAAGGCGAGUCUCUGGACAUUUCCUGACGCUGAGGCACGAAAGCCAGGGGAGCAAACGGG
RNAcentral lists this ribosomal RNA (253 nucleotides) under uncultured bacterium. RNAcentral describes it as "partial 16S ribosomal RNA". It matches the Rfam family "Bacterial small subunit ribosomal RNA", at positions 524 to 776 of the family's 1533-position model. The record is from RNAcentral.